AUGGCUCAGGAUGAACGCUGGCGGCGUAGCUUAACACAUGCAAGUCGAACGGAGUUUUAACGGAAGUUUCGGAUGGAAGUUAAAACUAGUGGCGGACGGGUGAGUAACGCGUGGGUAACCUGCCUCAUACAGGGGGAUAACAGUUAGAAAUGACUGCUAACACCGCAUAAUAUAGCGAAACCGCAUGAUUUUGCUAUCAAAUAUUUAUAGGUAUGAGAUGGGCCCGCGUCUGAUUAGCUAGUUGGUGGGGUAAAAGCCUACCAAGGCGACGAUCAGUAGCCGGCUUGAGAGAGUGACCGGCCACAUUGGGACUGAGACACGGCCCAAACUCCUACGGGAGGCAGCAGUGGGGAAUAUUGGACAAUGGGGGAAACCCUGAUCCAGCGACGCCCGCGUGAGUGAAGAAGUAUUUCGGUAUGUAAAGCUCUAUCAGCAGGGAAGAUAAUGACAGUACCUGACUAAGAAGCCCCGGCUAACUACGUGCCAGCAGCAGC
This 494-nucleotide ribosomal RNA is filed under the name uncultured bacterium. RNAcentral describes it as "bacterial SSU rRNA". It matches the Rfam family "Bacterial small subunit ribosomal RNA", at positions 19 to 518 of the family's 1533-position model. The record is from RNAcentral.